Molecule: microRNA precursor, 193 nt
Filed under: Oryza brachyantha (malo sina)
Lineage: Eukaryota; Viridiplantae; Streptophyta; Magnoliopsida; Poales; Poaceae
Description: MIR812 microRNA precursor family
Rfam family: MIR812 microRNA precursor family
Source: Rfam by way of RNAcentral
AAUAAGACCAUUUUUCAGUUUUUUGAUACAAUGUUUUGACUUUUCGUCUUAUUUGAAAUUUUUUUGCGAUUAAUAUUUUUGUUCUUACUAGAUGAUAAAGCAUGAAUAGUACUUUAUGCGUGACUAAUUUUUUUAUGUUUUUGUAAAAAGUUUUCAAAUAAGACGAAUGGGCAAACGUUGGAUACGAAAAAAC